GAUGAACGCUGGCGGCGUGCCUAAUACAUGCAAGUCGAGCGAACGGACGAGAAGCUUGCUUCUCUGAUGUUAGCGGCGGACGGGUGAGUAACACGUGGAUAACCUACCUAUAAGACUGGGAUAGCUUCGGGAAACCGGAGCUAAUACCGGAUGAUAUUUUGAACCGCAUGGUUCAAAAGUGAAAGACGGUCUUGCUGUCACUUAUAGAUGGAUCCGCGCUGCAUUAGCUAGUUGUUAAGGUAACGGCUUACCAAGGCAACGAUGCAUAGCCGACCUGAGAGGGUGAUAGGCCACACGGGAACUGAGACACGGUCCAGACUCCUACGGGAGGCAGCAGUAGGGAAUCUUCCGCAAUGGGCGAAAGCCUGACGGAGCGACGCCGCGUGAGUGAUGAAGGUCUUCGGAUCGUAAAACUCUGUUAUUAGGGAAGAACAUAUGUGUAAGUAACUGUGCACAUCUUGACGGUACCUAAUCAGAAAGCCACGGCUAACUACGUG
Molecule: ribosomal RNA, 497 nt
Filed under: uncultured bacterium
Lineage: Bacteria
Description: partial 16S ribosomal RNA
Rfam family: Bacterial small subunit ribosomal RNA
Source: RNAcentral